UAGAGUUUGAUCCUGGCUCAGGAUGAACGCUAGCGGUAUGCUUAACACAUGCAAGUCGAACGGAGUUUCUAAUAUUGACUUUCGGGAAUUUAUUUUAAACUUAGUGGCGAACGGGUGAAUGACACGUAAGAACCUACCUUUAGGAAGGGGAUAACAGUUAGAAAUGACUGCUAAUACCCUAUAUACCUACGGGUAAAAGAUUUAUCGCUUAAAGCAGGGCUUGCGUCUGAUUAGCUAGUUGGUUGGGUAAAGGCUAACCAAGGCAACGAUCAGUAGCUGGCUUGAGAGGGCGACCAGCCACACUGGGACUGAGACACGGCCCAGACUUCUACGGAAGGCAGCAGUGAGGAAUUUUCCGCAAUGGGCGAAAGCCUGACGGAGCAAUACCGCGUGGAGGAUGAAGGUUCAUGGAUUGUAAACUCCUUUUCUUAGAAAAGAAAUCAAUGACGGUAUCUAAGGAAUAAGCAUCGGCUAACUCCGUGCCAGCAGCCGCGGUAAGACGGGGGAUGCAAGCGUUAUUCGGAAUUAUUGGGCGUAAAGCGUCUGUAGGUGGCUAAAUAAGUCUGGUGUUAAAUACUGAAGCUCAACUUCAGACCUGCAUCAGAAACUAUUUAGCUUGAGUACGUUAGAGGCAGGGGGAAUUCCCAGUGUAGCGGUGAAAUGCGUAGAUAUUGGGAGGAACACCAACAGCGAAGGCACCCUGCUGGCCGAUACUGACACUCAAGGACGAAAGCUAGGGGAGCGAAUGGAAUUAGAUACCCCAGUAGUCCUAGCUGUCAACGAUGGAGGCUAAACGUUGUCCAUUUGGCCAGCGUUGAAGUUAACGCGUUAAGCCUCCCGCCUGGGGAGUACGCUCGCAAGGGUGAAACUCAAAGGAAUUGACGGGGACCCGCACAAGCGGUGGAGCAUGUGGUUUAAUUCGAUGCAACGCGAAGAACCUUACCAGGGCUUGACAUGCCGCGAAUCGCUAUGAAAAUAGUGGAGCCGAAAGGCGCGGUCACAGGUGGUGCAUGGCUGUCGUCAGCUCGUGUCGUGAGAUGUUGGGUUAAGUUCCGCAACGAGCGCAACCCUUAUCCCCAGUUACCUUUUUAGGAACCUGUGGAGACUGCCGGUGUUAAGCCGGAGGAAGGUGAGGACGACGUCAAGUCAUCAUGCCCCUUACGCCCUGGGCUACUCACGUGCUACAAUGGCUAGGACAAUGGGAUGCCACCCUGCGAAGGCGAGCUAACCCCAAAAACCUAGUCUUAGUUCGGAUUGUAGGCUGCAACUCGCCUACAUGAAGCCGGAAUCGCUAGUAAUCGCUGGUCAGCAAUACAGCGGUGAAUACGUUCUCGGGUCUUGUACACACCGCCCGUCACACCAUGGAAAUUGGCUAUGCCCAAGAUCGUCACCCUAACCUUUUGGAUGGGAGCGCUUAAGGUAGAGCUAGUAACUAGGGUGAAGUCGUAACAAGGUAACCA
RNAcentral lists this ribosomal RNA (1460 nucleotides) under uncultured bacterium. RNAcentral describes it as "bacterial SSU rRNA". It matches the Rfam family "Bacterial small subunit ribosomal RNA". The record is from RNAcentral.